This 220-nucleotide long non-coding RNA is filed under the name Homo sapiens (human). RNAcentral's name for it is "non-protein coding lnc-XYLT1-3:1". Lineage: Eukaryota; Metazoa; Chordata; Mammalia; Primates; Hominidae. The record is from RNAcentral.
UCAUAAGAAGGCAACAAAUUCUUCUCCUCUACAGAAGGAUUUUGCAAACAAUUUGGCAAGUUCCAAAUGAUUCUGAUUGCAAAUACCUGAAGGACUGGGCAAGGGAAGAAUUCAGAAGAAACAAAACUGCCACCGAAGAGGAUACAAUCCGGUUGAUGAUUACUCAAGGCAAUAUGCAGCUCAAGGAGUUAGAAAAAACACUUGCUUUAGCAAAAUCUUA